UCACACAUAUCACAGAGUGGUUAUGAUCGCCGCUUGUCACGCGGCUGGCCCGGGUUCGAUUCCCGGCGGGGGAG
Molecule: non-coding RNA, 74 nt
Organism: Rhizodiscina lignyota
Lineage: Eukaryota; Fungi; Ascomycota; Dothideomycetes; Aulographales; Rhizodiscinaceae
Source: the annotation of a GenBank genome assembly